This 231-nucleotide long non-coding RNA is filed under the name Elaeis guineensis (African oil palm). RNAcentral describes it as "long non-coding RNA (EGUI_LNC017141)". The record is from RNAcentral. Lineage: Eukaryota; Viridiplantae; Streptophyta; Magnoliopsida; Arecales; Arecaceae.
AAGAGCUAUAAUAAACCAUAUGUAGCUUUGAGGAACAAGCUUCAUACAGAGAAAGUCCUUUCUAGAAAAGUUUGGUGUAGAUGAGUUCAUAUUGCAUCUUGUGUGUAGUUCCAGGCUGGAAACAAUUUUGCAUUGGUCGAUCAGGCAUCCAUUUGCAAGAAAUAUUUGGAGAAGCUUUAAAAUUCAGUUGAAUUUGAGAGGUUGGCCGGUGAAUGUUCUUAAUUUAUAGUC